UGGUUUAACUACAAUGUUAGCUGUAGGCCAGCCCUCUGGUCCUCCUGCUGUUAUAACUACAAUGUUAGCUGUAGGCCUGCCCUCUGGUCCUCCUGGUGGUUUAACUACAAUGUUAGCUGUAGGCCUGUCCUCGGGUCCUCCUGGUGGUUCAACUACAAUGCUAGCUGUAGGCCUGUCCUCUGGUCCUCCUGGUGGUUUAACUACAAUGUUAGCUGUAGGCCUGCCCUCUGGUCCUCCUGGUGGUUUAACUACAAUGUUAGCUGUAGGCCAGCCCUCUGGUCCUCCUGCUGUUAUAACUACAAUGUUAGCUGUAGGCCUGCCCUCUGGUCCUCCUGGUGGUUUAACUACAUUGUUAGCUGUAGGCCUGCCCUCUGGUCCUCCUGGUGGUUUAACUACAUUGUUAGCUGUAGGCCUGCCCUCUGGUCCUCCUGGUGGUUUAACUACAAUGUUAGCUGUAGGCCUGUCCUCUGGUCCUCCUGCUGUUAUAACUACAUUGUUAGCUGUAGGCCUGCCCUCUGGUCCUCCUGGUGGUUUAACUACAAUGUUAGCUGUAGGCCUGUCCUCUGGUCCUCCUGGUGGUUUAACUACAAUGUUAGCUGUAGGCCAGUCCUCUGGUCCUCCUGGUGGUUCAACUACAAUGUUAGCUGUAGGCCAGUCCUCUGGUCCUCCUUGUGGUUUAACUACAAUGUUAGCUGUAGACCUGUCCUCUGGUCCUCCUGGUGGUUUAACUACAAUGUUAGCUGUAGGCCAGCCCUCUGGUCCUCCUGGUGGUUUAACUACAAUGUUAGCUGUAGGCCAGUCCUCUGGUCCUCCAGGUGGUUUAACUACAAUGUUAGCUGUAGGCCAGCCCUCUGGUCCUCCUUGUGGUUUAACUACAAUGUUAGCUGUAGGCCAGCCCUCUGGUCCUCCUGCUGUUAUAACUACAAUGUUAGCUGUAGGCCUGCCCUCUGGUCCUCCUGCUGUUAUAACUACAAUGUUAGCUGUAGGCCAGCCCUCUGGUCCUCCUUGUGGUUUAACUACAAUGUUAGCUGUAGGCCAGCCCUCUGGUCCUCCUGGUAGUUUAACUACAAUGUUAGCUGUAGGCCUGCCCUCUGGUCCUCCUGGUGGUUUAACUACAAUGUUAGCUGUAGGCCAGCCCUAUGGUCCUCCUGGUGGUUAUAACUACAAUGUUAGCUGUAGGCCAGCCCUCUGGUCCUCCUGGUGUUGUAACUACAAUGUUAGCUGUAGGCCUGUCCUCUGGUCCUCCUGGUGGUUUAACUACAAUGUUAGCUGUAGGCCUGUCCUCUGGUCCUCCUGGUGGUUUAACUACAAUGUUAGCUGUAGGCCUGCCCUCUGGUCCUCCUGGUGGUUUAACUACAAUGUUAGCUGUAGGCCAGCCCUCUGGUCCUCCUGGUGGUUUAACUACAAUGUUAGCUGUAGGCCUGUCCUCGGGUCCUCCUGGUGGUUCAACUACAAUGCUAGCUGUAGGCCUGUCCUCUGGUCCUCCUGGUGGUUUAACUACAAUGUUAGCUGUAGGCCUGUCCUCUGGUCCUCCUGGUGGUUUAACUACAAUGUUAGCUGUAGGCCUGCCCUCUGGUCCUCCU
Molecule: long non-coding RNA, 1583 nt
Filed under: Salmo salar (Atlantic salmon)
Lineage: Eukaryota; Metazoa; Chordata; Actinopteri; Salmoniformes; Salmonidae
Description: lncRNA (ENSSSAG00000090341.1)
Source: RNAcentral